GUGAAAGAAGCCAAACUGACAGCAUCACUAUUUAUCAACAGAACAGGUACAAUAUAGGAAGCAGAAGUACAAGCUUCACCACAGCAACCUGCCAAAGUGCUUUGCCUCACCACUGAACUACUUUAGACAGGCCACAUCAUAGGAUGAAAGAAUAGUUCAAGUUCCCAUGUCCAUUUAAUCCAUGGCUUGA
RNAcentral lists this small RNA (190 nucleotides) under Chrysemys picta bellii (western painted turtle). Its description in RNAcentral is "TUC338 (ENSCPBG00000020122.1)". Lineage: Eukaryota; Metazoa; Chordata; Testudines; Emydidae. The record is from RNAcentral.